RNAcentral lists this ribosomal RNA (814 nucleotides) under uncultured bacterium. RNAcentral describes it as "bacterial SSU rRNA". It matches the Rfam family "Bacterial small subunit ribosomal RNA", at positions 1 to 807 of the family's 1533-position model. The record is from RNAcentral.
GAAUUCGCCCUUAGAGUUUCUUUUUGGCUCAGGACGAACGCUGGCGGCAUGCCUAACACAUGCAAGUCGAACGGAGAUAGACGCUGAUGACGCUUCGGUUGAUUCUUGUCUAUCUUAGUGGCGGACGGGCGAGUAACGCGUGAGCAACCUGCCCUUCAGUGGGGGACAACAGUUGGAAACGACUGCUAAUACCGCAUAAUGUCACGAGGCCGCAUGACCUUGUGACCAAAGGAUUUAUUCGCUGAAGGAUGGGCUCGCGUCUGAUUAGCUAGUUGGUGAGGUAACGGCUCACCAAGGCGACGAUCAGUAGCCGGUCUGAGAGGAUGAACGGCCACAUUGGGACUGAGAUACGGCCCAGACUCCUACGGGAGGCAGCAGUGGGGAAUAUUGGGCAAUGGGCGAAAGCCUGACCCAGCAACGCCGCGUGAAGGAAGAAGGCCUUCGGGUUGGAAACUUCUUUUACCAGGGACGAAUAAUGACGGUACCUGGAGAAAAAGCAACGGCUAACUACGUGCCAGCAGCCGCGGUAAUAUGUAGGUUGCAAGCGUUGUCCGGAUUUACUGGGUGUAAAGGGCGUGUAGGCGGAGAUGCAAGUUGGGAGUGAAAUCCCGGGGCUCAACCCCGGAACUGCUUUCAAAACUGUAUCCCUUGAGUGUCGGAGAGGCAAGCGGAAUUCCUAGUGUAGCGGUGAAAUGCGUAGAUAUUAGGAGGAACACCAGUGGCGAAGGCGGCUUGCUGGACGAUAACUGACGCUGAGGCGCGAAAGCGUGGGGAGCAAACAGGAUUAGAUACCCUGGUAGUCCACGCUGUAAAC